GGCAGGGCUGGGGCGGCCGCGGACCUGCCUGGCCAUCAGGCCGAGCGUGGACCCUCGGACCUGAGAUUUGCUGUUUUUGUUUUCUGGGGUCUUCCCCCUUCCCCCCGCCAAGAGAAGGAGGAAAAAGGAUGACCGUUGUUGUUCUUUUUAAGAAGGAGAAAGAAGCUCACGCCGUGUCCAAGCCCAAGGCGGAAUUGUUGACAUCCAACAUCUCUAGCUAGCUGAUUUGGGUUGGAAAGGUGUUUUAGACUAGAUCAUAUAGCAGUCAGAUAAGCAUCCUUUAAAAAAAAGAAAAAAGAAAAGAAAGAAAAGAAAUCCAUCUAGUUUCUGACGAAUUAACAGGUGUACACCACACUCUAGGGUUUGUAUUUUGUCAGGGAGGGGAAAGUGGAAUACAGUCUUGUCUGUGUUCAGUUACUUGUUAAGAGUCUUUAUCUUCCUGAUUUGACUUUUUUUUUUAAAAAAAUGAUAACUCAAGAGCCAUCGUGAAAAUAUAUCUCAAAAUGCAUUGUCAUCUUUAAUUAGGGGCAGGUGACUUUUUUCAUUGUAAUGUCACAAGUCCUCAUAUUGAGUUUAGACCCGCUCUGUUUAAAUGUCGUCUUUUAAUCAAGUUGAGGUCAAAGCCAAACCCCAACCUGUCCACUUUUCCUCUGUCGUUUUCUCUAGCAUUGGCAUCAGGGUAGAAACUCCAACAACCUGCAGAAGUCACGUGUAAACUGAUGAAAAUUAGUGAAAAAAUCGUGGACAAUUGCAAGUAAUCGAAUUUUUCAAACUGAGCUAAGCUAGCUAAGAUGUGGAUUUGGUUCAUCUGAAAAUGCUUUGAUUAUAGGCAUUUUGAAGAUCCAUUCUUAUCUGCCUCCCCUAAUUUAGUUUGGAUACUGUUUAAUGAAAGAGGCCUGAAAUAGUUUCACGCAUUCAAAAUACUUGGCUCUUCCCACUUUCUGAGUAAAUUUUUUUUUCCACAUCCGUGUUGAUUACUCAGUUACUUGGACUUUUAAAAGUCUCUGUCUGGGUGAUUGCCCUGUUGGUGCUAUCUGAUUCAUUCAGGAAUGUAAGCUGCUUUCUUAUUGAUGACCUCAGAGAACUUAACUGCUUUAUCUUAAAAGUGAGAGUAGUUUUGUUGACUUUGUCCUGUGAGGUCUAAGGCCAGAGAAAGGGGACUAGGUGUUAAGGAGGAACCUCUAUUUUCAUGCCUUAGUGACCCUGCUUUUCAAAAAUAGAAGCAAAAAUGCAGUAGCCUCCAUAGAGAAGCUUGUAAAAUACUGUAUUUGAAACUUUGACUGACGUAGCAAGUUUUUCCUUUUUCCUUUUUUCUUUUUCUUUUAAUUAUAGGUCUGAUUCUUCUCUUUCUCUGCAGGUGCAGUUUUAGAAAAUAAACUUGCAUAUUAAAUAAAGUGCAGUAGCUGAAUGCGAAAGAGUCA
RNAcentral lists this long non-coding RNA (1421 nucleotides) under Homo sapiens (human). RNAcentral's name for it is "non-protein coding lnc-BEND7-5:5". Lineage: Eukaryota; Metazoa; Chordata; Mammalia; Primates; Hominidae. The record is from RNAcentral.